RNAcentral lists this ribosomal RNA (466 nucleotides) under uncultured bacterium. RNAcentral's name for it is "partial 16S ribosomal RNA". It matches the Rfam family "Bacterial small subunit ribosomal RNA", at positions 28 to 507 of the family's 1533-position model. The record is from RNAcentral.
GACGAACGCUGGCGGCGUGCUUAACACAUGCAAGUCGAACGGAAAGGCCCUGCUUGCAGGGUACUCGAGUGGCGAACGGGUGAGUAACACGUGGGUGAUCUGCCCUGCACUUCGGGAUAAGCUUGGGAAACUGGGUCUAUUACCGGAUAGGCGCCAUCUUUAGUGUGGUGGUUGGAAAGUUUUUUGGGUGUAGGAUGAGCGCGCGGCCUAUCAGCUUGUUGGUGGGGUAAUGGCCUACCAAGGCGGCGACGGGUAGCCGGCCUGAGAGGGUGUACGGCCACAUUGGGACUGAGAUACGGCCCAGACUCCUACGGGGGGCAGCAGUGGGGAAUAUUGCACAAUGGGCGCAAGCCUGAUGCAGCGACGCCGCGUGGGGGAUGAAGGCCUUUGGGUUGUAAACUCCUUUCGCUGGGGACGGAGCUUUUUUGUGACGGUACCUAGAUAAGAAGCACCGGCUAACUACGUG